Alexandromys fortis (reed vole) is the source of this 5198-nucleotide RNA transcript. It is a transcript of the gene named sperm acrosome associated 6, with no coding region annotated. NCBI's taxonomy places the organism in Eukaryota, Metazoa, Chordata, Mammalia, Rodentia, Cricetidae. The record is from RefSeq and is a predicted model, not a curated record. The transcript is spliced from 3 exons.
CCUUCCCCUUCCUUCCUUCCUUCCUUCCUUCCUUCCUUCCUUCCUUCCUUCCUUCCUUCCUUUCUUUCUUUCUUCCUUUCUUCCUUUCUUCCUUUCUAUUUUUAUUCAUUGAAGACAGGGUUUCACUGUGUAACAUCCCUGAUUGCCCUGGAACUCUGUAGACACAGCUGACCUCCAACUCACAGAUCCGCCUGCCUCUGCUGGAAUUAAAAAGGCAUGCGCCACCACUGCCUGGCUCCUGGUUUUUUGUUUUGAUUUCCUGUUUUUGUUUUGUUUUUUGGUUUUUCAAGACAGGGUUUGUCUGUGUAGCUUUGGAGCCUGUCUUGGCAGUCACUCUGUAUGUAGACCAGGCUGGCUUCACAUAGAGCCAUCUGUCUGCCUUUCAAGUGCUGGGAACAAAGAUGUGCGCCACCACUGCUCUACCUGGCUCCUGUUUUAAUGUUUUUUAAGCAUGUGUAUACGUCCAUGAGUUUUCUGGAGACGUCUCUGGUCUCCGUGAGAACCUAUCCUAACAAACGCCAAUAGCUGAGAAUGAAAAAGAUUCCAUUUCCCAUAGCACUCAAUCCUGCCCACGCAGGUCUUUGUAGUAGACACUGCCACCAUUGCUGUUUUAUGCAUGGGGAAACUGAGGACCAGAGAGUUGUCACCUGACCAACCUCACAUACGUACGGAGGCAGCUCUGGGAUUCAUGGAUAAAUAGAGCUCUGUGUGAAACAGAUGUCCUCAUAGCUCUAGGUGCCAGGACUCACCCCCAGUGUCCGAGCUCCUAACACAUGCCCCCUCACUGAUUGCAGCACUCUUUGUACCAUCAGGGUUCAGUUGGCAUAAUCCAUGUUCCACUUACCCUGUUAGCAUGUUUCCCCUUACUCCUGACCCUGUGUGUACUAGAUACUUAAACCUGUCCCACCCCUGCCCACCUCACAGGUCUCCGUGGUACACCUGCUAUAUCCCACCCACUCAUACCCUCCUGGGAGUCAUUGAUUUGGCUCCUAGAUGUAGCUUGUGUGAGGCCUUCAGGAUUUUGGCCUUCCAUUGAGGGCUCCACUCUGACCUCCUUACGGCACUAGGUCAUACUCCAGCUCUUUAUGGUUAAGAGAAUGACCGCAAAACCAGCUUCUUGGCUUUGGUGUUUCUCUGUAGACAACAUAUACCAUUCUUUAGUUAAUGCCUUCAGUUCGUUGACAGUUUCAUACACACAUGAGGUAACCAUCCUCAUUGCUGUGACAGAUUACAAGACAAUAACCUUAAUGGAGAAAAGGUUUAUCCUAGCUCACUGAGAGUAUAGUCCAGUGGUUCUCAACCUGUGGGUCAUGACUUCUUUGGAACUUUCCCAAGGGUCGCCUAAGUCCACUGGAAAACACAGAUGUUUACAUUAUAUUUCAUAGCAGUAGCAAAUGUUACAGUUGUGAAGUAGCAACAGAAAUAAUUUUAUGGUUGGGGUCACCACAGCAGGAGGAACUGUAUUAAAGGGUCACAGCAUUAGGAAGGCUUGGAACCACUGCUAUAUUGUGGCAGGAAGUCAAAGCAGGAGCGGGAGAUCACAUUGCAUACACAGCCUCGAAGCAGGGAAAAACGAAUGCUGGUGUUCAAUUUGUUCGUUUUGAUUCACUCUAGGACCCCAGUCCAUGGUAUGGUACAAAGCACAUACAGGGUAGGUCUUCCCACCCCUCGACAGGCCCAGAGGUUUAUUUCCAUGGUGAUUCUAAAUCCUAGGAAUCUGACAAUAAAUAUGAACUAUCAUACUAGUCUAAGGUGUACCCAAAUGAUGUCGUUUUAACACCUCUAAGAAUGUUGGCUCCAAGUACUGUGGCGUUCUUCCAUACUGCACUGGGGAUUAGGGUUGCACAUAUGAAUGGGGUGGGGAUGGACACUGUCCCAACCAUUUCCACCAGAAGGACCCUUUGCCUUGUUGGUCUCUGGUGAGCUCCAUCUCAUGAUCUGGAGGGUACUGUGGUGGUGAGAAUUAAGGACUCAGAACAUAACAGUAUAGAAGGGAGAACUGAAUAGUGGUUGGCCGGGGGUGGGGGAUGACGACGACUGGGAAAUGUUCUGUUUAAAGACAGUGGUGGUCACUGAACUGCUAAUUGCUGCCUUAUGGCACUAUGGUCUUUGUUAUAUAGCUUUGGAUAUUUUUUUUAAAGAUGCCAAGCAUUUUUGUGACAUCAGUUUUGUGUGUUGGCAAUCCAUUUAUUUUUUUAAGAUUUAUUUUUAAUCAUAUGGAUGGGGGGAGCAGGGCACUGGUGCAGAGGGCAUUGGUUCAGGAGUCUUCGAAGUCCUGGAGAGGGCAUCAGAUGCCCUGAAGUUAGAGUUACAAAUGGUUGUGAAACUUGUAACAUGGGUGCUUGGAAAUAGAACUGGGUCUUCUGCAAGACAUUGUCGUAACUGCAGAACUAUCUCUUCAGCCGCCUUCCCAUUGUUUUGCAAAGAGAUAUCAAUAUUUUUGCUAUGUUGAAGCAGGGUUUCUCCUUGUGGCCUUGGCUGUCCUCAAACUCACUUUGUAGACCAAGCUGGCUUUGAACUCAUAGAAAUCCUCCUAUUUUUGCUUCCCAAUUGCUGGGAUUAAAAGCACCCAACACCACCUACCGACCAAGAUAAGAAACUUUUAUAUAACUGUCCCAAAGUUGUAUAUUGGCAAAUAGUUCAUAAAUAAAAAGGAAACAAGCUGGCGGUCGUGGUGCACACCUUUAAUCCCAACACUUGGGAGGCAGAGGCUGCUGGAUCUCAAAGUUCAAGGCCCACCUGGUCUACAGAGGGAGUUCCUGGAUAGCCAGGGCUAGAAAGACAAACCCUAUCUUUAAAAAUAAAACAAAAUAAAAAAUAAAAACAGAAAGAAAGAAAAAAAUAGGGAACAAAGAAGAGAAAAAGAAACACUUUACUGCCUGGUGUUUAUCAUAUCCAGGUGAUACAUUUGGGUCUAAGGCUACAGCUGGUGACCUACUGUCCUGCUGGACUCUCAAAUUCACUAGACAUACUUAAUGGGUUGUUUUGUAAGACUCGGGACCCUUUUGUGAGGAUGCUGUAUUCAAAAAGUGGAAGCUUGGGGAACAUUGAGAAAAGAGUGGAAAGGUUAAGAGUCAGAGAUUUGAGAGGACUAGACAAAGCAAGCAGUUUGUGGACCAAUGUACUCCUGAGUUCACAGCAGCUGUAGUUGCCUGACCAAGAUCAAGUCCGUCGACAUUCCAGUGCUGUGGGGAGGGGCUCACAAGACUCCACCCCAAAUGGAGGCAAAUGGAUCAGGAGAGCCAGUUGUCUUCAAAGGUGCAUGCAGUCCCUGAUAGGUUGAUAGGUUCACUGAAGGUAGGUGCACCACUGAAUGGUCAGCACAGAUUGAACUGAGCGGGUUAUUACAGUUACGGGGGGAAAAAAAUAAAUGAAGAGGGUUAGGACAAGUAGGAAGUAUAGGGUCUGGAAGAAGAUAGGGGAGGGAAUGAAUAUAAUUGAAAUACAUUGCAUGCAUAAUAUGAAAUUUUCAAAGAACAAAAAACAUUCAUUAAAAGCAUACAAAAAAAGGAAUGCCUUUAAUCCCAACACUGGAAAGUUAGAAGGAGGCAGAGCUCUGAGUUCAAGGCCUACCUGGACUUCAUAGUGAGCCACCGUCUUAAAACAAAAUACCAAGAAGAUGGACUUAUGCCGUUAUCCUAUCUCAGCAUCUAAUUUGCAUAUGUGUAAUUGCAAUCUGGUGAAGUCUAUGUAAACUGAAAGAGGCACAAUGAGAUAAAAGUGGGGAGCUUUAGAUUUGGGGUAAUCAGAACCCUUGCGGUGACACUUGAGAGGGUAAGAUAUACAGAGUGGUGGAAAGCUGGGCAAAAGACAUUUAUAAGCAAGGUAAGGGUGACCUGGAAACUGAAAGUCAGCAAGAGGGCUGCUGCAGAGAAAGGCAACAACCAGCAUUGUAGGGCCUAGUAAGCCCUGCAGAAGAGUUAAUCAUUGUCCUUCCCUUCCCACUAAGAUAUAAAUGAAUAGUGCUGUCGUGAGGCAGAAAGAGCGUCCUGAAGAAGUUUGCCAGCUUUCCCUUUGGACCUAUGGAAGCUAGAAACACAGCAUGUACCUAUGGGAGAGACAGCGAGUCCUGACUCUUCGGCCAUAGGGAAAGGGCUUUUAGUACAACCACCCUGCUUCAUCCUCCAGGGUCCUUUAAGGCUGCCUUCCCUAUUGCUGCAGCAAAAAUGAAGAAGACCAUUCAACAGCUUAAAAAAGUCCAGGAUUGCAUCCCUCCUUGUGCUCCGGACUCAGGACGUGUCCUACUUCCGUGAUGUGCCAGGGGCCCACGGGUACCUGGCGCGGAUCCGGCCAGUGCAACCCACCCACCGCGGGACCUUCUCCUGCGUGAUCCUGCACGACCAACGCCCCCUGGCGCGGCUCUACUUCUAUCUGAACGGUGCGGGCGGGGCAAGGAUGUGAGGAGAGGUGGGGCCGAGGGCGGGGUUCCGCCCUCUAACGCGCGCGCUCUGGCAGUGACCGGCCCUCCUCCGCCUGGGGAGACUGAGCUCCAGGUCACGUUCCGGGAAGUGACACAUUGGACGCCGCGGGAGGCGGAAAUGAUCGAGCCCUGGAGGCCCAGCCUAAGCGAACUGCUUGCCAGGCCCCAGGCUCUGACGCUUGGCAACCUGUUCCUGCUCGCGGCUAUUGCUGCACUCGUGUCUGCUAGCGUCACUGUGCUAGUGUGGUGAGUGCCGGCUUCCACCCUCGCCUCCCGCUGCUCCCCUUGUCCACGCCGCAGGCCUCCGACCCAGGAGUUCAGACUCCGUCCAUCCUCCGAGUCCAGACCCCAGCCUCCUCCCUGAGCCCCAAAACCAGGUCUUCUCAGACUAAAGUUAUAUAGGCUCUAGACUACCUUCCUUAGACUCAGGGUUCUAGCCUCCAAUUCUCCUUCAAACCUAGGAGACCUAACCCUUUUUUUCUCAGAGCCAGAAGUCCAGGUCCUAGCCCUCCUUGCCCAGGCUGAGAAAUCCAGAUUCUAUCCUUAUAGCUCAUAAACUUACAUAGUCUCGACACCAGGGCUCCUUGUAGACUCAGGUCUAGGCUCUCCUUGCACUUUGAAAUCCUAAUGUGUUUCUGUCACUGGGCCCUCCUUCAACGCACAUACUCGUUUAUUUUCCCAGGGUGUUUUUUCGAUGGUACGUAAGUGGCAGCUAAGGAGGGUAUCUGCCCUGAUUUGACAUUCUUCCCUGAAAUAAAGAAUGUAUUUCAGUUCUGGA